This 228-nucleotide ribosomal RNA is filed under the name uncultured bacterium. RNAcentral's name for it is "partial 16S ribosomal RNA". It matches the Rfam family "Bacterial small subunit ribosomal RNA", at positions 103 to 334 of the family's 1533-position model. The record is from RNAcentral.
CGGGUGAGUAAUGUAUGGGGAUCUGCCUGAUGGAGGGGGAUAACUACUGGAAACGGUAGCUAAUACCGCAUAACGUCGCAAGACCAAAGAGGGGGACCUUCGGGCCUCUUGCCAUCGGAUGUGCCCAGAUGGGAUUAGCUAGUAGGUGGGGUAACGGCUCACCUAGGCGACGAUCCCUAGCUGGUCUGAGAGGAUGACCAGCCACACUGGAACUGAGACACGGUCCAG